AUAUUGGACAAUGGGCGGAAGCCUGAUCCAGCCAUGCCGGGUGUGUGAAGUAGGUCUUNGGAUUGNANAGCACUUUAAUUUGGGANGAAAGGUUUACACCUAAUACGUGUGAACUUUGACGUUACCCAACAAAUCAGCACCGGCUAACUUCGUGCCAGCCGCCGCGGUACUACGAAGGGUGCAAGCGUUAAUCGGAAUUACUGGGCGUAAAACGCGCGUAGGUGGUUCAUUAAAUUGGAAGUGAAAGCUCCGGGCGCAACCUGGGAGUUGCUUACAUAUCUGGCGCGCUAGAGUACGGUAGAGAGUGGUGUAAUUUCCUGUGUAGCGGUGAAAUACGUGGAUAUAGGAAGGAACAUCACUGGCGAAGGCGACCACCUGGACUGAUACUGACACUGAGGUGCGAAAGCGUGUGGAGCAAACAGG
RNAcentral lists this ribosomal RNA (423 nucleotides) under uncultured bacterium. RNAcentral's name for it is "partial 16S ribosomal RNA". It matches the Rfam family "Bacterial small subunit ribosomal RNA", at positions 361 to 776 of the family's 1533-position model. The record is from RNAcentral.